UGGGGAAUAUUGCACAAUGGGCGAAAGCCUGAUGCAGCGACGCCGCGUGAGGGAUGACGGCCUUCGGGUUGUAAACCUCUUUCAGCAGGGAAGAAGCGAAAGUGACGGUACCUGCAGAGAAGCGCCGGCUAACUACGUGCCAGCAGCCGCGGUAAUACGUAGGGCGCAAGCGUUGUCCGGAAUUAUUGGGCGUAAAGAGCUCGUAGGCGGUUAGUCGCGUCUGCUGUGAAAACUCGAGGCUCAACCUCGGGCUUGCAGUGGGUACGGGCUGACUAGAGUGCGGUAGGGGUGACUGGAAUUCCUGGUGUAGCGGUGGAAUGCGCAGAUAUCAGGAGGAACACCGAUGGCGAAGGCAGGUCACUGGGCCCGCAACUGACGCUGAGGAGCGAAAGCAUGGGGAGCGAACAGGAUUAGAUAGCCCUGGUAGUCCAUGCCGUAAACGUUGGGCACUAGG
RNAcentral lists this ribosomal RNA (454 nucleotides) under uncultured bacterium. RNAcentral's name for it is "partial 16S ribosomal RNA". It matches the Rfam family "Bacterial small subunit ribosomal RNA", at positions 355 to 820 of the family's 1533-position model. The record is from RNAcentral.